UACGGAGGAUCCGAGCGUUAUCCGGAUUUAUUGGGUUUAAAGGGUGCGCAGGCGGGUUGAUAAGUCAGCGGUGAAAGUUUGCAGCUUAACUGUAAAAUUGCCGUUGAAACUGUCGAUCUUGAGUGCAAAUGAGGUAAGCGGAAUGUGUUGUGUAGCGGUGAAAUGCUUAGAUAUAACACAGAACACCGAUUGCGAAGGCAGCUUACUGGGAUGCAACUGACGCUCAUGCACGAAAGCGUGGGGAUCAAACAGG
This 253-nucleotide ribosomal RNA is filed under the name uncultured prokaryote. RNAcentral describes it as "partial 16S ribosomal RNA". It matches the Rfam family "Bacterial small subunit ribosomal RNA", at positions 524 to 776 of the family's 1533-position model. The record is from RNAcentral.